RNAcentral lists this long non-coding RNA (1032 nucleotides) under Oncorhynchus kisutch (coho salmon). RNAcentral describes it as "lncRNA (ENSOKIG00005023120.1)". The record is from RNAcentral. Lineage: Eukaryota; Metazoa; Chordata; Actinopteri; Salmoniformes; Salmonidae.
AUGAUUGCCUCGCCUGGUUCACCAACUACUUCUCUGAUAGAGUUCAGUGUGUCAAAUCGGAGGGUCUGCUGUCCGGACCUCUGGCAGUCUAUGGGGGUGCCACAGGGUUCAAUUCUUGGACCGACUCUCUUCUCUGUAUACAUCAAUGAGGUCGCUCUUGCUGCUGGUGAGUCCCUGAUCCACCUCUACGCAGACGACACCAUUCUGUAUACUUCCGGCCCUUCUUUGGACACUGUGUUAACAACCCUCCAGGCAAGCUUCAAUGCCAUACAACUCUCCUUCCGUGGCCUCCAAUUGCUCUUAAAUACAAGUAAAACUAAAUGCAUGCUCUUCAACCGAUCGCUACCUGCACCUACCCGCCUGUCCAACAUCACUACUCUGGACGGCUCUGACUUAGAAUACGUGGACAACUACAAAUACUUAGGUGUCUGGUUAGAUUGUAAACUCUCCUUCCAGACCCAUAUCAAACAUCUCCAAUCCAAAGUUAAAUCUAGAAUUGGCUUCCUAUUUCGCAACAAAGCAUCCUUCACUCAUGCUGCCAAACAUACCCUUGUAAAACUGACCAUCCUACCAAUCCUCGACUUUGGCGAUGUCAUUUACAAAAUAGCCUCCAAUACCCUACUCAACAAAUUGGAUGCAGUCUAUCACAGUGCAAUCCGUUUUAUCACCAAAGCCCCAUAUACUACCCACCAUUGCGACCUGUACGCUCUCGUUGGCUGGCCCUCGCUUCAUACUCGUCGCCAAACCCACUGGCUCCAUGUCAUCUACAAGACCCUGCUAGGUAAAGUCCCCCCUUAUCUCAGCUCGCUGGUCACCAUAGCAUCUCCCACCUGUAGCACACGCUCCAGCAGGUAUAUCUCUCUAGUCACCCCCAAAACCAAUUCUUUCUUUGGCCGCCUCUCCUUCCAGUUCUCUGCUGCCAAUGACUGGAACGAACUACAAAAAUCUCUGAAACUGGAAACACUUAUCUCCCUCACUAGCUUUAAGCACCAACUGUCAGAGCAGCUCACAGAUUACUGCACCUGUACAUAG